AUUCUGUCUCAACAACAACAACAAAAAUUGCGAAGGCCCGCCAGGGUGGUGACACAAUGUGACUUCUGCACAGUGCUCUGAAUGUCAUAGUGAAGAAAUUCAAUGAAGCAUGGGUAAAUGGUGGCAGUAACUACGACUCUCUUAAAGUAGCCAAAUGCCUCAUCAUGUAAUUAGUGACACGCAUGAAUGGAUGAAUGAGAU
Non-coding RNA from Callithrix jacchus (white-tufted-ear marmoset), 201 nucleotides. The record is from Rfam. NCBI's taxonomy places the organism in Eukaryota, Metazoa, Chordata, Mammalia, Primates, Cebidae.